Molecule: non-coding RNA, 70 nt
Filed under: Treponema sp.
Lineage: Bacteria; Pseudomonadati; Spirochaetota; Spirochaetia; Treponematales; Treponemataceae
Source: RNAcentral
AAGCGAAACGGCAGGCUUGCGAUCUGCCGUCUUCCGCGCGUGGCGGCGCGGAACUGAAGAGCGGCCAAAG